Sapajus apella (tufted capuchin) is the source of this 1793-nucleotide long non-coding RNA. RefSeq lists it as uncharacterized. Lineage: Eukaryota; Metazoa; Chordata; Mammalia; Primates; Cebidae. The transcript has 2 exons. The record is from RefSeq and is a predicted model, not a curated record.
AAAGGAUAAAGGAAAACUAGCUUUUGUGGAGCCAAAUUAUGGAUUAGGAAUAUGAAAUGAGUUGUUACUUAAUCCACACAAACCAAGGCAUGUUGUUCCACCUAUUUAACAGAAGCAGUAACGAUGGCUGGGAGAGGUUAAAUGAUCUGCCUGUGUUCACACCACGUGUGAGUGGCAGAGCCAGGAUUCAAGCCUGUCUGAUGCCAGCAUCCCUGUCCCUCCCACUGGGCCAUGCCACUGCCGUCCAAGCAAACAGGACUCGUGUGGAGGUCAUGCUCGUCUGGAGUUCUCCCCACAUUUUCUUUCAGCGUCAACAAAGUAAUGGAACCAGAGCAAAAUUUUUUUUUAAAUAAGGAAGAAAAAUCACCUUUUAUGUAUCCAUGUUAUACCGCCCAGGCCUUAUCUGAACAUAUAGUUUUAUAUGUACAUUUAUUUUGUAUUUUCACAUGUUGUUUUUUACUAUUUCUACAUUUUUCAGAAUUGUUUCUUUGAGUAACUGUGCCCUAUUCCGCCAUUUAUUAACCAUUGAAUAUUUAGGUUACCUCCCCUGCGUUUACUGUUACCGUUUACAGCAAACAUUUUCAUGCAUACUGCUUUCCUCGUUUUGAAUAAUGCUUUAGGAUUUAUUCCAAGAAUCCUACCUUUUGUCUUAAUGGGAGUUUCCAUCCAGUUAAAUAGUAGAGGGCUACAUUUUCAUACUAAUGGAAGCCUGGCAUUAAAGGGUAAAUUUAAAGUAUGACUAUAUUUGUUGUUCAUCUUUUAGUGGCAUGGUAGAAAGAACCCCAUUACAUUUUUUACAAAUAUUUAAUGACCCCAGAAGGAAGUCAUUACAAAACUCAGUGGCUAAAUAGCUUCCCAGGAUCUGUACGUGUGGAGCCAGUGUUCACACACCGGGCACGGGGUACCUGAGAAGGAGUGGAAGAAGGUAAGGACAGAAAAUAGGUUUGAGUCUGACUGGAAAGGCCUGGUGCCCUGCUUAGGGAGUUACAGGCAGUGGAGCAGAACGGACGGUUUUGGAAAAUGGGCAUCAGUCAGAACAGGGUGAGGAGACUGUUCUGCAGCACCUGGUAGGGUAAAUUGGAUACAGGUUGUGGGAAGAAGAGGGAGUACAAGAUCCAGCAGGAUGCUGAUGGAGUAGCUGUGAAGCAGAGCAUGAGAACUUGAAACAAACGUUUAAAAAAAAAAGAUGAGAAAGAGGCAACAAGUCCGGGAAACACUUCAGCACCAUAACGUAAGGAUUUAACAGUUUAUACAAGUCGCAUGCUUUAUUAAAUGAACUCUAGGAAAACACUCCAUGAAAGGAAGUGGAACUGAAGAUCCAGUCAGUGAGGGUUAAUCCCGUAGCUUUCUCCUGGGUAAAUGUAUCUUCUCUUUGUAAAGUUACAGAAAUGUCUGAUGUGCACAGUGGAGGGAACACUAGACCUGCAGUUGAGAGACAUGGGUUCUAACGCUAGCUCUGCCUCAUGUUAUACACGGCUGGAUGUCCCUGAGUAAGUCAGGAAAUGCUCUGGGCCUUUGUCUUCUCAGCCUGUGACAUAUACAAGGAACUAGCUGACCUCCUAGGAUCCUUACAGCUCUGAUAUGCCAUCUUUCAAGGGUGUUGGCGUAUAGUUUAGGAGGAUUAGGAAUUACAAGGUAUGAGAGGUUUCCUAAAAAGACAGUUUGCAGCUAAUAUUUAUGUUUUCAGUAACUGAUUUUUUUCUCCCCUAUUCUAGAAUAAGCAAAUCACUUUCUUAGACCAAAAGGACCCCACAGAAGGGACACAGAAGACUCCCUGGGGAAAAAAAAAAAAA